GAACGCACCUUGCACUCUUUGGUAUUCCGAAGAGUAUGCCUGUUUGAGUGUCAUUAAAUUCUCAAACCUCAACAAGUUUUGCGACUCGUUGAGGCUUUGGAUGUGGGGGUUGCUGGCUUUUACGAGUCAGCUCUCCUUAAAUGCAUUAGUGGUUACUGUUCGCUACAUCCUGGUGUGAUAAUAUCUACGCCUAGUAGUGAUGUUAAGUGUAGCUGCUUCAAACCGUCCAAGUAUUUGGACAAUUUGAACCAUUUGACCUCAAAUCAGGUAGGACUACCCGCUGAACUUAAG
Molecule: unclassified non-coding RNA, 291 nt
Filed under: uncultured fungus
Lineage: Eukaryota; Fungi
Description: sequence contains 5.8S rRNA gene
Rfam family: 5.8S ribosomal RNA (bases 1-53)
Source: RNAcentral